UCGCUCCCGUAUUGGGCAGAAAUAGAGACAAAAAAAAUCAGGUUCCAAGCGUCUUGUAUUCUUCCCCCACGCACGCGACCUCCUCUCGUUCCACAAGCCAACGCAACCGCCGCCUCCUUGCCUCCGCCUCUUUCUCCGGGGGCCUUGCAGCUGCAGCGGGAUGGGAGUCAAGGGGGCGAGCGGGAUGGACGGCCAGCUGGUUUCUUCGCCAGAUCUGCAGCCCAGGGGCGACUCCGGACCGGGGAGUGGCGGCAGUGGCCAGGCCUAGUGGUGACGGGACAAUGAAGUGGUCGGAGGCGCUGCAUCGGCGGCAAGUUGGUCUGCAACGACAGCAAGACGAGGGAGAUCGUGCACCCGCGGUGCCAAAGCUCAAGGGCCAUUAGGGAGCUGAACUCAGAUGUAUCCACCGUGCAGGACAAUGCCUUGGAGCUCCUGCUAUGUGGCUGUGGUUCUGGUCUUCUUUCCUGUACUUAAAUCUCGUGUUUGUUUGAUCUUAUAGGCUUCUUCAUAUUUUGCAUAUUCAUCAAGACGUGGCAGUCUACUCUGCUAUUUUGGCUAUCAUGGUCAAAAUAGCAGUAUGGAAUAAAUGAGACUUCCGGUCAAGCUACUGAUAUUAAGGUGUUCUUAUGUUUUUUUGGUGGGCUUUCAAGCCACUUGUGUUUGCAUUUUGUCCAAAACUCAUGAAGAUUGAAGGAUCUUCAGAAGAAUAACCGGCAUAGCAUAUGGGUGCACGUGUGGAGCCAGUUCAGAGCAUACGUAGUAGUAGCAGUCUCAAGGUAAUGCAUUACAGGGCAUGUACAAUUUUGAAAUUGUAAAAUUCCACUAUGGCACCAAGGUGCUGUCUUUUGCUCUCCUCCCUGCAAAUCUAUGCUUAUUUCCUGAUAUAUAUGUAGCUUCUUAUAUAAUUAAUAGACUGUAUUAUGAGUGUAUUCGUGUUCUAAAAUCAACAAUGGUGGUAUCUUGGUAGAACUAAUGCAUUUCCUUAUGAUUUACUAUCCUGACUUAAAAGAUAUUGACUGAUUUUACAGCUGCUGUGCACAUAAUACGCUGCUAUAUGUUUCGUAGUAUUAUCCUUCUAAGAACAAGUACUGGCGCUCUGUUUUGCUAAUCCAAAAGGUGCAGCUUGUUAUUGUCCUUCAACUAUGCUUCCAGCAUAUAUGUGUUUUAACUUCUUGAUCCUUGUUUUGCUAUGCUUAACCUUUCAUACCCAGCUUCUUGGAUAAACUAAUUGUAGAAUUUCUUACCUUUGCCAUGCCUUGCUUUGCAUGCUUCAAGAAGCUUUUCAGAAUAUUCAGUUAAUUGUGCUGGUUGUUCAUAUCCUUAGCUGUUUUGCAGCUUAUCUGUCAAGUAGGUUUUACACUUUUGACAACUGGGAUAAUCAUGCUGCAAUUGCAUGCGAUGCUACUUCUAUAUUGCCGUGCUCUGAAAUAUAUUUUCAAAGGCAUAACCGAUUGGUCAAAAUAUACAGCUUGAGAUACUUUCAGUUUAGUUCAUAUCAUAUAUGAUUUUAGUUUGUCGCACGGUAUUUUUUUUAAAAAAAUAUAUUAGCUAUCAAGGCAAGGAUAAGACAUCAGGACAAAGAAGAGUUACCCUAUGCGUUUUUGGUGAUGUUGCAGAACACUCUUGAGAAGCGACAGCUAGGUAUUAUGACGCAUAUCUUCCUUCUCUGUUCAAAGCUUGCACAAGUGAAAACCCUGAUGUUAUACAAUGUGGAGUACAAUGGCUCCUACGGCUCGGCUUCGCGGCCGGGAUCAGGCAUCGCUGGAUCGGUGGCACCAAAGGUGGGUUGUGGAAGACUGCAUCGGGGAGCAUCGAGCCAUCGACCGAACAAGGUCUUAGAGUCGUUUAUGAUCCCGUAGGCCUCCGACAACAUCAAUAAUAAGGAUAGGAGUUGUCUGCUUCAUAUCGCCUCUGUCUCCACCCACGUUUCAGUUUGCAGGACGUGUUUGAGGGUGGCUUCUGCUUGUUCAUGAAGGCAACUAAGAAGGAGAAUUUGAUUAAAUUUCUUGAAGGAAAGAAAGAUUUUAUUUUCAGGCAGGUAUGAAACUGUGAAUAUCCUGUAGUUCAUGUUGAGGGUGGCUUCUGCUUGUUCAUGAAUGCAUCGUAAAGCCUUGACAGCAGUGUAGGUGUUCUUUGUGUUGUUCAUGUUGAGGGCAUUGAUGAUGAGUUGCUAGAGCGUCUUGAUUGGUUGGGGAACCUGGCUAUUUAUGCUUCUCAAUUUUCAUAUUUGUAUUGGAACUAUUUACUAAAUUAUAUGCCGACACAAGUUUAGUAUCUUUUUGAUAAUAUAUUAGUUACACAUCUGAUCUAUGUCAGUUCGUUGUUGUCCAAGACAAAAUGUUUUUAUUUGAACACCAUACAUACUUAUCGGCAUAACAAAACACAACUAAUGCAUACCCAUAAUAAGCAUUAAUCUGUACUUUUGAUUUUAAGGUCUGAGUCGAUCUAAAUUGCUCAGUUGAUAGCUCUGUGCUAUACUUUUUGUAAAAAAAAAUAUGAAUUAGGACUCCAUCGCUUUGAUUUGUCGAAGCAACUAAGUUGUUGUUUCUCGUCAUGUGGUUGGGAGCUUUUCUUGAGCCUUUGUUUGCUUUAUGACAUUGAGCUCUUUGAAAGGAGGCGAGAAGUAUUUUGAGAUCUUCCUCCUGAAGAACAUCGUGUUAGAACAUGCCCAGAUUAGUUGUUGUGCGUGUGGUGUUCGUGCUACUGGAGGUGUGCGUGUGUGCUAGAUCUGUGGUGUGAGCCUACGCCAAUAUCAGACCUUGCAACACCUUCCUGUCUAAGGGGGGGGGGGGGGGGGGGGGGGGGGGGGGGGGGGGGGGGCUGGCGCCGUUCCGGUCGUGGUUCGGCAACCUGCAUCUGCAUCGGGAGGACGGCGGUGCCGAUGGUUUGGGAGCUGAAGCCGUGUGGCGAGGAUGGCGGUGGCGGAGGAGGAAGGGGGCGCCGGCGGCUUUCGGUCACAUGGGUCAAAGGAGAGCAAGGGGACGGCAGCACCUUCUUCCCGUCUUCACCUAGAGUGCUAGCUACCUUUCAAACAUGGAAGCUUAGGAAAAAGCAUGUAAACCGAAGACAGGAAGCUUACCUGUUCGAUUCAGCAGAUUUGGUUUGCUCUAUUUGUUAAGAUCUUUCUCUGCUGCACGAGAACUUAGAGAUGUAACAUCAAUGUGGUGGGCAUAGAUCAGAAAGGCAAGUUCUUGUCAAAGGAAAUCUUCACCUACGUAAAGGUAACCUCAAUAGCCUCUCUUAAAUUUUGCAACAGGCAGCCGUUGCUGUAGCAUGGAGCUCUAGAGUAGUUAGUCUAGAUUCAACUCUAGAGUAGUUAGUCUAGAUUCAACUGAGUUACAAGUGCACAUUUGUCCAGUUAUUGCUACCUUUUUCUGGAAGAUUUUAGACUUACUAUCCUGUGUUAAUUUAAGGACUGGCUAAGUUUUGUUGUUCGUUCCCGUUCUCGGGUGCUGUCCGGUGGGUCAGUUGCGCUCUUCAGCGCCUUCGUCUUUGUUGUCUCCUACACCUUUGCCUACACCCUCACCCACUACCACGGCUCCUGCAGCAAGGUAACAGGUCUCUGCCUCGCCCGAUCUCCUUCGCCAGUUUAUAUGCAGAUGGACGGCUGCAUGAACAGAAAGACAAUGGUGUCCGGGCUUUGUUGCAUUGCGUUACAGGACGAGAACCUCUUUUAUUUCAUUUCCAGUUUCACUUUUUUCAGAACAUUUCCAGUUUCACUCUGCCUCUCUUUUUUACUUGGCUGGACUAAAGCAAAGUAGCAACAUUUACGUAAACAGAACCGGGUGUUUUCUGCUUUCUUGUUCCUCCAUUGUCUUCUGCUGGUGUGUUGCCUUCACUCGUAUCUCCAAAAGCAAUUUACUGCCCCUCCAAUUCCAUGGAAACUAAUGGUGGAUCUUAUCUACCACCAGUAAAAAUCAAACCCCAAUACUAACUGGUGACCAUAAUUUCCAUUUUCCCCUUCUAUAAGCCCCAUAUCAAUCUCAUUUCUGAACCCUGGUCAUGGGCUUGACCAACAAAAUAUAUGUUAUAUGCCUACAAAAUGUAUCAUCGGAAACUUCUUUCCCAUAUAAAUAUAAUGGUAUACUUUUUCCGUACAAUAUAUACUUUGUUGUUCAAAUCGAGGCUUUCUACCUAUCGUCAGUCCUGCACCAAGGACUAGGCUAGAAAAGUUACAUCCUUUUGAUGUUCUUAUCUUGGCAUGAUGCAAGGCAAAACCAAAAGGGAGAGGUUAUAUUAUUGGCCAUAUUUACUUUGGUUAUUAGUUGAGCACAUCUGGAGCAUCUUUCCGUUGUUGCCUGCCUUUCCAUUGUUAAGAUGCUGGAGGAGACUAACCGUGCUACCGAUGAUAACACGCUUCUUGCUUUGGGUUUGUUUACUUGCCACAUAUGGCAUCAUAAUUAGAUGCAUUAGUAUUUUAUUGCUGCCAAAUGUCGUUGGUACUAAUUCUGGAUUAUUUCAGUCCAGUUCGAGGCUGGCUGCAGCCACGACAUCAACGGCAUCCAUAACAAUCGCGGAUCCUUCGACAUCUGGAUUGACCGCUGCUCCGUCGUCGACUACGACGACGGGCUCAUCGACAUCAUGCGCCAGAGCAUCUACAUUUCUUGUCUCCAGGUCGUUCCCUUCUCUGUUAUUUGUCCCUGCUACUAAGUCACUCACAUGCUUGGUUUCUCUCAACAAGUAUUGUUGAUUAGAUGGGAUCACUGUGUUGUCUGAUGAAAAUAAACGUGUGUGUAUGUGAUUGCAUUUUUUGCAUGAUUGAUAUAUAAUGGUUGCUCCAAUGUACACUGGGUAUGCAUGUAUUCUCCACGAACUUAGAAUUGGCACUCUCUUUUAGACCAGCUCUUCAUUCUUGUAUUUAAGUUGGUACUAAAUCUGGAAGAGGUUUAUUGUAGGUUGAUGUCUUUUCCAUCUCAUAUUUUUCAUCCAUGUAAUACGAACAAAUGCACAUGAUAAAGAGGAGAAUCUUUUCAUGAGCUUCACCAGCCAUUGUACAGAAUAUACAAUGCUGUUUUCUUAUGCAUUUUAAUUACAUUUACAGCUGUAAGUUUGUGACGAUACAAACGGAAGUUGCAUACAGAGUUUCUUAUAUAUACUAUUGUUCUAUCCAUGCUUAACAUAUAAAAAUUUCUGUUCUGUUCAUACUACUUAACAGUCAGCAGUUUAGUCAUCUUACAAAAGUAGACUGUACAUACUCAAAUCAUCAACUAGACACCAGAAAUAUUGACUUCUCUUUGCUCUUUCAUCAGCCAUUUUACUUCAGCAUUCAUAAAUUUGGGUCCUCAAGACAUGUACUCAAUAACAGUACUUUGCUAUCACCAUUAAUAUCAUUAAUAUCCAUAGAACACGCUCUUAUCUUCCAUAUCACACAACAAUUUCUGUCCAUGUAAAUAACUUGCUUUCUUCUACCAGUAUUUUCAGUUUAACUAUACUGAAGAGAACCUAUUGGACUACAUUGAUCCAAACAAUGAUAUACACUCAUGGUCAGACUUGCAGAUGGCAAUCUGCUCGCUGAAUGUCGCAUCAUGCUAGGAACUGAUAAGAGGGCCACUAUAACCACCAACUGGUCUGAGUUUCGCUGCUGCGCCAACAUUCGCGAAGGAGACAUUUGUGCAUUUCAUUUCAGGAUCACUUUAAAGUGCCGCUUUGUUGUCACCAUGCACUGCCUCUGGAUGCACCAUCGAAGACGUUGCCGCCCCUGUGUCAAUAUAAUCUAAUAUAAUGUACCACUAAGCACUCCUAAUUAUGCUAUAUACUGUGAUAACCUAUGGUUUACUUUUGGGCCCUCUUAUCACAUGCUUUUCAAAACGCUAAAUCUAUGUUGUUGCUUAUGUUAAGUGCACUAUUGUCAGUCAGAUGUUUCAUGUUCAGAUCCAUAAUGGGCUUUC
Molecule: non-coding RNA, 5888 nt
Organism: Triticum urartu
Lineage: Eukaryota; Viridiplantae; Streptophyta; Magnoliopsida; Poales; Poaceae
Source: RefSeq, a predicted model, not a curated record